UGCAAGGAAAUGCAUUCAAGGAUAAAAGUAAGAGAUAUGCUUUUAUUAAUAGUACAAUUUGGAAAUACAUGGAUAAUUACAUAAGUGAAAGAGACAACACUCACACCUACAUGACACUUUUCAUCCUACCAACUCUAUUAAGCAAGACUAGGAGUUGGCUAAAUUAGUAUGGGAACCCUUUCCCUUUCUCCUUCCUCCUACCUCUCAAUUCUUGCUUCCAUAAAGCUCCAAGGAGGCAGCUAGUGUACCUACAAUAUUACACCAAAAAGGUAUCAAAAUUUUUGUCACAUAAGAAGGGAGAAAAGAGACACAAGCUCAUUUAAGGAAGGGGAGAAAUAGGCAGCCAAGGGGCUAGGGUUUCCAGCUGUGAUGAUAGCCACAUUUUGUCCCUUUUCAACUUACACCAUUUAGGGACAAAGCCAAACUGUCCCAGAGUAAGCAAACCAAGCCACAGGCCGAAAAGAGAUGGAGGGAUAGAGCCCUUAUCGAGGCUCAAGGAACAGCCAAGAGAAGGAUCUUCCUUCCCCAAAAUUAUCACCAAUAAGGAAUGAACGACAGCAUCACAAAACUCAAAAAGGAAGCCAACACUGCAGCCUCAAAAUAGAAAUUGGAGCUCUCCAAUGCCUUACACCAAUUUAGUAGUGAAGCUUUAAGCCCAAAAUCAAAAAGAAGAGAGAAUCUUUAACCCAAAUUAGCCACAAAAUGCCAAGGAGUUAGGCUAUAAAUACCAGCCCCACCACCAUCUCCUUCCUCACACCUCUCUAUAUUCACAAGACACAAGAAGCGCAACAAGAGAGGAAGGAGCAAGGAGGGCAGCCGCAUAAACCAAAGGAGCCAUCCAAACUAAGGUUGAGCAGUGAUGACGACGGGCGGUGUUGAGCAUAGACGAUGAAGAUCCUUCGAUAGAGUAGUACUCAGAUGCGACGUGUCUCCAUACACGACGUUAUCUGCUCUUGACUCUUCCGCUGCAAUGUAAAAGUCGAGUUUGCGCUCUUUGUAUCGUGCACUCUGAUAUAUAUUAUUUGAGUUAUUUCAGUUCAA
Molecule: long non-coding RNA, 1041 nt
Organism: Salvia splendens (bonfire salvia)
Lineage: Eukaryota; Viridiplantae; Streptophyta; Magnoliopsida; Lamiales; Lamiaceae
Exons: 2
Source: RefSeq, a predicted model, not a curated record